Molecule: long non-coding RNA, 2163 nt
Organism: Oncorhynchus tshawytscha (Chinook salmon)
Lineage: Eukaryota; Metazoa; Chordata; Actinopteri; Salmoniformes; Salmonidae
Source: Ensembl
AAUCAAGUGGCAGGGUUAGGUUAAGGUGGCCAUUAGGCUGAACUACAGACUCUUGAUUGUGGCUUACGAUGCACAAAAGAGGGAUGUGGCUUAAGUGAUGUAAAAAGAGGCCAAACUUGUCUCAGCAAAAGACAGAGAGAAGAGAGUAAUCUAUAAGCCAUGAGUCUCCGGGUGGACUAGAGUGUAUCUGCAGUGCUUUGUGAGAGAGGCGUGCCCAUCCUCUCCCCAGAAACUCAACAGUGUUGUGUCGGUCGGUGGAGUUUGGGUUGCCGUAGACGAUGGGGGAGUGCCCCAGGGUCACUGCCGCCGGUCUUCGGUUUCUUGUCGUGAAAAAGCCAUCACCACAUCCUCCGCACCUGGUGACCCAGAUCCACAAACAGAGGACCUGAGCCCUAGGACCAUGCCUCAGGACUACCUGGCAUGAUGACUCCUUGCUGUCCCCAGUCCACCUCGCCGUGCUCCUGCUCCAGUUUCAAAUGUUCUGCCUGCGGCUAUGGAAUCCUGACCUGUUCACUGGACGUGCUACCUGUCCCAGAUCUAUUAUUUGACCAUGCUGGUCAUUUAUGAACAUUUGAACAUCUUGGCUAUGUUCUGUUAUAAUCUCCACCCGGCACAGCCAGAAGAGGACUGGCCACCCCUCAUAGCCUGGUUCCUCUCUAGGUUUCUUCCUAGGUUUUGGCCUUUCUAGGGAGUUUUUCCUAGCCAAUGUGCUUCAACACCUGCAUUGCUUGCUGUUUGGGGUUUUGGGCUGGGUUUCUGUACAGCACUUUGAGAUAUCAGCUGAUGUACGAAAGGCUAUAUAAAUACAUUUGAUUUGAUUCAGCAUUUAAAAAAUCCAGCAGCGUUGCAGUUCUUGACACACCCAAACCGGUGCACCUGGCACCUACCACCAUACCCCACACCUAAAUCUUUUGUCUUACCCAUUCACCCUCAGUGCAACACAUACACAAUCCACAUCUCAAGGCUUAAAAAUACUUAUUUAACCCAUCUCCUCCUCUUCAUCAAUAAGGGAUCAUAGCUUUCACCUGGAUUCAUCUGGUCAGUUUAUGUCAUGGAAAGAGCAGGUGUGUCUAAUGUUUUGUGCACUCAGUGCAUAUAUUUGUUUAAUUUUGGCAACACCACUGCAGUUGACCUAGACUUUGAAUACCACUGGUCUAGUACAAUGCUGCUUCCCAAUACAUCAUAUAAACCAGCUUAUCUUUCACAAUAGUCCAGUCCAUAAGAUCACUACUCUCCAGCAAACAGCAACCACCCAGACAGAGGGAGAUAAGAUUCUAUUAUUUCAGGUACGAUGUCACAGGCAAUUUUCUCUGGUUGCCACUGCUGGCCUGAGGCAAUAAUAAAAUAUGUGGAUAAACUAGGCCCAAGACCCAGCAGGGUCACGGAAGAAGGACAGCAAGGGCUUUCAAGGCUCCAGUCACAGCCGUUUUGGGAUUCAGCCUGGAAGGCAACUGAUAAGUCUGGUCGAAUCAAGAGGACCUCAUCAAUGCAUUUGUUUGCUCCUUGAAGUACAGGCACCAGCAGGCAGUGACAUCCAUCAACCAAGUCCUUAUUUCUAUUGACUUGGCGCCCUCUUGUGUUGAUGUGUGUAUCGGCAAGAGCAAGAGAGGCUCCAUAACAUCUUGUGCCUUGCUGAGCGACUCAUGUACAGUGGAUAUUACUUUAUUCCAUCAAUUAAGUGUCUACAAACAAUUUCCCCAAAUGUGUGCUUGGCAGGGAAUAAUGACACCUCUUAGUCACUGACAGCUCCACCCAGACAGCCUGUUGGUCUGGUGAGUAAUCCAUCAGGGUUGGUAGACAAGAGCACACGGGUGUGUUCACUAAGGUGAAACAUUUACAAUAAUGCAGAUAAAAAUUUAACCAAACAGAAAUUCCAGUUCCACAUGACAGACAAUAAAAUCUGUUCUACAUAAUGAUUUUCUAUCUGCUGUGUGUAUGGGUGUGGCCCUUACCCUGGUCUAUGUUGUGCUGUGGUAGCUGGCUCAUCUGAGCGUUGACCACGCCUGCGUAAUUCCGUAGAAACGCCUCCUCGCUCGGCGUCAGCUGAGAAACAAUUCAUUAAUAACGUAUUAAAAAAAAUAUAUAUAUAUAUAAGUAAUUUUUUACCCCCCCUUUCUCCCUUUCUCUGCAAUUCCCCAACGGGCUAAGGAGAGGAAAAGGUAG